Molecule: ribosomal RNA, 465 nt
Filed under: Vreelandella stevensii
Lineage: Bacteria; Pseudomonadati; Pseudomonadota; Gammaproteobacteria; Oceanospirillales; Halomonadaceae
Description: partial 16S ribosomal RNA
Rfam family: Bacterial small subunit ribosomal RNA
Source: RNAcentral
CCUACGGGGGGCUGCAGUGGGGAAUAUUGGACAAUGGGGGCAACCCUGAUCCGGCCAUGCCGCGUGUGUGAAGAAGGCCCUCGGGUUGUAAAGCACUUUCAGUGAGGAAGAACGCCUGGUGGUUAAUACCCAUCAGGAAAGACAUCACUCACAGAAGAAGCACCGGCUAACUCCGUGCCAGCAGCCGCGGUAAUACGGAGGGUGCGAGCGUUAAUCGGAAUUACUGGGCGUAAAGCGCGCGUAGGUGGCUUGAUAAGCCGGUUGUGAAAGCCCCGGGCUCAACCUGGGAACGGCAUCCGGAACUGUCAAGCUAGAGUGCAGGAGAGGAAGGUAGAAUUCCCGGUGUAGCGGUGAAAUGCGUAGAGAUCGGGAGGAAUACCAGUGGCGAAGGCGGCCUUCUGGACUGACACUGACACUGAGGUGCGAAAGCGUGGGUAGCAAACAGGAUUAGAUACCCCUGUAGUC